AGCAGCCGCCGCGGGAAUACGUAGGGUGCAAGCGUUAAUCGGAAUUACUGGGCGUAAAGCGUGCGCAGGCGGUUAUAUAAGACAGAUGUGAAAUCCCCGGGCUCAACCUGGGAACUGCAUUUGUGACUGUAUAGCUAGAGUACGGCAGAGGGGGAUGGAAUUCCGCGUGUAGCAGUGAAAUGCGUAGAUAUGCGGAGGAACACCGAUGGCGAAGGCAAUCCCCUGGGCCUGUACUGACGCUCAUGCACGAAAACGUGGGGAGCAAACAGGAUUAGAUACCCGCGUAGUCCCUGUCUCUUAUAC
Molecule: ribosomal RNA, 303 nt
Filed under: uncultured bacterium
Lineage: Bacteria
Description: partial 16S ribosomal RNA
Rfam family: Bacterial small subunit ribosomal RNA
Source: RNAcentral